UACGGAGGGUGCAAGCGUUGUCCGGAAUCACUGGGCGUAAAGGGCGCGUAGGCGGCUCUGCACGUUCGUUGUGAAAUCGCCCGGCUCAACUGGGCGGGGUCAGCGGAUACGGCGGAGCUUGAGCAAGCUAGGGGGCAAUGGAAUUCCCGGUGUAGUGGUGGAAUGCGUAGAUAUCGGGAGGAACACCAGUGGCGAAGGCGGUUGCCUGGGGCUUUGCUGACGCUGAUGCGCGAAAGCGUGGGGAGCGAUCCGG
RNAcentral lists this ribosomal RNA (253 nucleotides) under uncultured bacterium. Its description in RNAcentral is "partial 16S ribosomal RNA". It matches the Rfam family "Bacterial small subunit ribosomal RNA", at positions 524 to 776 of the family's 1533-position model. The record is from RNAcentral.